AAACACUUAAUUGAUCACCAAAAAUAAUUAAAAGUUCGAUUUUUCUUGAUAAUUCGGAAAGGGCAAAAAGAUUAUAAGAAUGGAUCACAACUUGAAUAAGCUCAUUAAUACUCUGUUGAAAUUUCUGAUAGUAUGUGUUACUCAUAAGAACAAAAUAAUGAACGGACGGUUUACAAAUCAAAUUACGAGAUCAUUAAUUAAUUAAACAAAUUACACAUAAAUGAAUUAAAUUUUGACUUGUAAAUAAAUCUAGAGUCUAAGUCGACUCAAAAAAUAUUCAACCCACUUCUUAAGUGAAUAUUGUUCAUGACGAGAUAUCAAUUUGUUUUCUUCAUCAAUGUGAGACUCUAGAAUGUACGUCUAGCUAGUUGCUAGAACGUUAUUGUUUUUUGAAUUCGAGGAGGGAGCUGUGACAGGAUGUACUUUCUUGAACAUCUUAGUGAACCAACCUCCAGAAGAAGACUUUUUCAAGUGAUUACAAGUUUCUGGGAUUUUAACUUUUUCCUUCUCCAAAUUCUUCAUCUUCUCUUCGUGAAGUUUUUUCAUGGCAUAAGCCUCAGCAAGAUACGCACUAGCAGUACACAUGCUUGAUAUGUAUAUAUAUAUUUUUUCAAAUAGAAAUUCUGAAGCAACAAUUAAUAUUGGUAUGGAGAUAUUGAUAUUGGUUCACGAACAUUGUUAUGGUAUUUAUAGGCACAAAAGGGAAAUGAGCAAAGAAAUUUCGUGGCAUUGAAUUGUUGAUUAGGGCUUGGCUGCUUUUGUUGAAUGUUUUGGUAGAUACUAUGCAUGCCUAUUUGAUAACCUU
This 805-nucleotide long non-coding RNA is filed under the name Capsicum annuum. RNAcentral's name for it is "long non-coding RNA (CANN_LNC006367)". The record is from RNAcentral. Lineage: Eukaryota; Viridiplantae; Streptophyta; Magnoliopsida; Solanales; Solanaceae.